UGCACGCUCGACGAGGAUAGCCGCCGAACCGCCACGGCGAUGCCGUGACGACCCGGACGACUGCACCUCGCCCCUUCUCGCGUUCUUGACCGCCUAGACCUUUCCCGCGAGCUCCGAGGCGUCCCCAUCCUUCUCUCCCUCCUUCCUGAGCGCGAGCGCCGAGCUCCGUUGUCCCUGUUGCCCGGGAACGGCUGUCGCCGCCACCAUGGCCGCCGCCCCCUCCUAGGCCGCCGCGGAGCUCACCCCUCCAGCCUCCCUCCGCCCCAAACGACCCCACAGCUAGCUCCCCGUCGCCGCUCUGAAGCUCCUGCACCCGGCCUCGCCUUGCUUCUUCCACCAGAACGCCGCCACCACGAAGCAGGGCCGCCGCCGCCCCUAGGCCACCGUCGAGCUCCCACCUCCGCCCUCCCACGGCUCCGAUUGGCCUCGGGAACGGCUUGCUUCUUCCACCAGAACGCCGCCACCACGAAGCAGGGCCGCCGCCGCCCCUAGGCCACCGUCGAGCUCCCACCUCCGCCCUCCCACGGCUCCGAUUGGCCUCGGGAACGGCUUCACCUCGCCCAACGGAGCUCCCAAGCCCAGCCAAGCCGCCUCCCUGCCGCCGGAGUAGCCCCGCCGCAGCGCAGGGCCACCGCCAGCCGCCGGCGCCUGUGGGCCGCCCUCCUCAGACCACCUCCGCCCCCACCAAGCACCUCUACUGGUACGAUAGAAGAACCGCGGGAAUGACGUGAUGAUGGAGUCGAGCCAGAAGACGGUGAAUGUGGACACGUCUAAAAGAUGGACGGAUGGAUCCCGAUGUGCACGACCGAAGGAAGAUGCUCGUUGAGAAAUUCUCCUCUAACUAACAAUGACCUAGUGUUAUUCCCAGGCAAGCCCCGGAGCAUAACCUAUUAUUUUAACUUAUGAAAUGUUAUAUAUAUAUUUACUUGAUUAUGCAUUAA
Panicum virgatum (switchgrass) is the source of this 941-nucleotide long non-coding RNA. RefSeq lists it as uncharacterized. NCBI's taxonomy places the organism in Eukaryota, Viridiplantae, Streptophyta, Magnoliopsida, Poales, Poaceae. The record is from RefSeq and is a predicted model, not a curated record. The transcript has 2 exons.